RNAcentral lists this ribosomal RNA (407 nucleotides) under uncultured bacterium. Its description in RNAcentral is "bacterial SSU rRNA". It matches the Rfam family "Bacterial small subunit ribosomal RNA", at positions 355 to 774 of the family's 1533-position model. The record is from RNAcentral.
UGGGGAAUAUUGCACAAUGGGCGCAAGCCUGAUGCAGCAACGCCGCGUGAGGGACGACGGCCUUCGGGUUGUAAACCUCUUUUGGCAGGGAAGAAGCGAGAGUGACGGUACCUGCAGAAAAAGCACCGGCUAACUACGUGCCAGCAGCCGCGGUGAUACGUAGGGUGCAAGUGUUGUCCGGAAUUAUUGGGCGUAAAGAGCUCGUAGGCGGUUUGUCGCGUCUGCUGUGAAAACCCGAGGCUCAACCUCGGGCCUGCAGUGGGUACGGGCAAACUAGAGUGCGGUAGGGGAGAUUGGAAUUCCUGGUGUAGCGGUGGAAUGCGCAGAUAUCAGGAGGAACACCGAUGGCGAAGGCAGAUCUCUGGGCCGUAACUGACGCUGAGGAGCGAAAGCAUGGGGAGCGAACA